AUUUUGACGUAACAGAGAGACUUGAUCAGGAAGGUGCUUUUCCAAGGGUAAGGCUCCCUUGUACUUGGGAGGUGCUAACUCCUGCUGCUUUCCCAGUUCAUGAAUUCAGCUGCCUAAGUUUUAGUAAAGGGAGACCAUGUUCACUUU
Molecule: small nuclear RNA, 147 nt
Filed under: Mus caroli (Ryukyu mouse)
Lineage: Eukaryota; Metazoa; Chordata; Mammalia; Rodentia; Muridae
Description: snRNA (MGP_CAROLIEiJ_G0035022.1)
Source: RNAcentral